AAGUCGUAACAAGGUUUCCGUAGGUGAACCUGCGGAAGGAUCAUUAUCGAAUAAACUAGGUGGGUUGUUGCUGUCCCUCUCGGGGGAAUUGUGCACGCCCUACCUUUUUUGUUUUUCCACCUGUGCACACACUGUAGGUCUGGAGGGGAAGGGAGGCAACUCCCUGACGUUUCAGGUCCUAUGUCUUUACACAUACACUAUUAAAAGUAACAGAACGAUUCAAUGGGCUCUAAGCCUAUAAAAAUAUAUACAACUUUCAGCAACGGAUCUCUUGGUUCUCC
This 281-nucleotide unclassified non-coding RNA is filed under the name Panaeolus antillarum. RNAcentral describes it as "partial internal transcribed spacer region". The stretch from base 1 to 46 matches the Rfam family "Eukaryotic small subunit ribosomal RNA", at positions 1786 to 1831 of the family's 1831-position model. The record is from RNAcentral. Lineage: Eukaryota; Fungi; Basidiomycota; Agaricomycetes; Agaricales.